GCGAAGAGCUGCGACCUGACGGUACCUUGAUCAAAAGCACCGGCUAACUACGUGCCAGCAGCCGCGGUAAUACGUACGGUGCGAGCGUUAAUCGGAAUUACUGGGCGUAAAGCGAGCGCAGGCGGUUCUGCAAGUCAGAUGUGAAAUCCCCGGGCUCAACCUGGGAACUGCGUUUGAAACUACAGAGCUAGAGUAUGGGAGAGGGAGGUAGAAUUCCACGUGUAGCAGUGAAAUGCGUAGAGAUGUGGAGGAAUACCAAUGGCGAAGGCAGCCUCCUGGCCUAAUACUGACGCUCAUGCUCGAAAGCGUGGGGAGCAAACAGGAUUAGAUACCCUGGUAGUCCACGCCCUAAACGAUGUCUACUAGUUGUUGGUGGAGUAAAAUCCAUUAGUAACGCAGCUAACGCGUGAAGUAGACCGCCUGGGGAGUACGGUCGCAAGAUUAAAACUCAAAGGAA
This 457-nucleotide ribosomal RNA is filed under the name uncultured bacterium. Its description in RNAcentral is "bacterial SSU rRNA". It matches the Rfam family "Bacterial small subunit ribosomal RNA", at positions 455 to 909 of the family's 1533-position model. The record is from RNAcentral.